RNAcentral lists this long non-coding RNA (1311 nucleotides) under Cottoperca gobio. RNAcentral's name for it is "lncRNA (ENSCGOG00000000441.1)". The record is from RNAcentral. Lineage: Eukaryota; Metazoa; Chordata; Actinopteri; Perciformes; Bovichtidae.
CUAAACUAUAUUUUAAUGCAUUUCUGAAUCAAUGCCAUAUCAGUCACCACAUCAAAACUGUUGAGAUUAAAUGAGGUCAGCUCUGGUUGCACUGUGUAAAAACAUAAUGUGUUUGCAGACAGAUGCAGAGAGUGGUUUCAUACACAUAUACUAUGGUCAGUGGUGUUAUACUUAAGGUGCACUGUCCAAUUGCAUUGUUAUGUAUAAAUAACAUAUUUUUACAUUGUUGGAUGGAUAAUUGUUUGUUAAACAAAAUAAAAUGUAUUUUGACUUAUUCUUUUACUUAUUGUAGACAAUGUCAGCUAAUUGUUCACAUGCUCUUUAUAUGUUUAAUGAAAUUAAUGAAUCUAUUUUUUAGGGGGGGAUUGUAAGUCUUGUAUUUGUGUUUCCAUGUAUGAAAUGUACAUUUUUUAUAAAAAGUUAACAUGUAUAAUGAUAAUAAUCGGUGGCUGAAUUGAUCCGUCAUAAUGUUAUUAGAGCUGGGUUUUGUUAAGAUGCACUUUUGUAUUGGAUGUUGUAAGUAAUUGAAAUUGUCACUAUGCUGAAUUUCUUCCACAGAAGAAUGAGAGAUGUGACUCGAAGAUUUAUUAGGCAUACGUAUGUAUUAUAUAUCCUGUUCAACACUCAGUGUCCUAUAGAGCCACACACGCACCACAAACCACUAUUAAGGACUGUGGAUUAUGAUUAAUCAACCCAUUGUUGAAUGUGUAAGUAUAUUUCACACUCUUAAAUGUUUGUUAUAGAGUAUGAUCUACUCAUUCACCGAAGGGACUUCUAUGUUUCACUAAAAUCCAAGCACAUUAAAGAUUUUAUGACUUUGUUUAUCCUUUUUACAGUCCAGAACAGCCGCGGUAUCCAAACGGUUGUGCAGAUGUGGGAGGAGCAUUUAACCUCAUUGAAACAUAACAAACUGCCAAGGAACAAAGAACCUGUGCUGUAUCCUGCAGUCAUGAUUGGAUCUCUGGAUCAGAGUUGGAGGUGACAGUCAGAGCAGGAGACAACAUCACUCUCUACUGUGACUGCAAGUUAUCAAGUGGAGUUUACGUAGUGUGGUACAGGAACUGCUCUCAUGACAACCAGCCUAUUCUUGUCCUUAAAAGAACUUCAUGGCCAAAAACCACUACGAUUGAAAACUUCCUGAAUCCCCUCCCUCGUUUCCACUUUGUGAGAAACUAUUCCUCUGACUCCUACGACCUGCUGAUCAGUAACAUCACUGACUCUGAUGAUGGCCUCUACUACUGUGGAACUGAAGAGAAUAAGCUGGAGGAUGAACAAUACAUUACUAGCAGAUCUGUUUACCGAUAUGGCAAC